CUAGUAGCUCAUUAGCCACAGGACUGCCAGGUAACUAGCUAGUAGCUCAUUAGCCACAGGACUGCCAGGUAACUAGCUAGUAGCUCAUUAGCCACAGGACUGCCAGGUAACUAGCUAGUAGCUCAUUAGCCACAGGACUGCCAGGUAACUAGCUAGUAGCUCAUUAGCCACAGGACUGCCAGGUAACUAGCUAGUAGCUCAUUAGCCACAGGACUGCCAGGUAACUAGCUAGUAGCUCAUUAGCCACAGGACUGCCAGGUAACUAGCUAGUAGCUCAUUAGCCACAGGACUGCCAGGUAACUAGCUAGUAGCUCAUUAGCCACAGGACUGCCAGGUAACUAGCUAGUAGCUCAUUAGCCACAGGACUGCCAGGUAACU
Long non-coding RNA from Oncorhynchus gorbuscha (pink salmon), 378 nucleotides. RefSeq lists it as uncharacterized. The record is from RefSeq and is a predicted model, not a curated record. The transcript is spliced from 3 exons. Lineage: Eukaryota; Metazoa; Chordata; Actinopteri; Salmoniformes; Salmonidae.